GGGGCUCCUGGCUGUGGGUGUGGUACCGAGGCUUCAGCGGGUGCCGCCCGCCUAGAGGGAGUGGAGCGGUGAGCACGUCAGGGGUGGGGGGCGCAGGUCAAGCUUUCACCAGUUUUUAAUUCUUUGAUGGGGUAAAUUUGAGCAAUUUUCUCGACUUGUCGACAUUCGUUAUUAACUGAGCAGGAAUCAGGAGAGGAACCCGGUCCUCUCCACACAGCCCAGCAGAGAGCCUACGACUAGAUUUGCAUCUUUACGUCCUGCGCGGAGGCUGCUACACACAUGCAGAAGUCAUGCUGGUGGCCUGGACAGUGAAGGGAGAGAAGUGGAUUUGGGAGACAUUUAGGAGGCAGAACUUGGUUUUGCGGUGCAGUAGGGUGCCUGGAGCCGAAAGCCUGACUUCCUCAUACAGGCCAGACCCCACAUGUGACUGCCAGGCCACUUUGAGGCUGAGAGAGAUGGUUUUGUCUGGCCUCUGUCCUGCACGUGUUUACGGAUGACCUCUGUGUUGGCAGAUUUGGGGGUCCGCCAGAUAGGAUCCUGUGAAGAGACCUCAAAGGAACAGUAAGAGGACCUUGUGCAUGAAUAAUUUGUUUCCACACUACAGAGUGGGUAAUAAGCAGAUUAGUAAAAACAAUUCUGCUUCACUUCAAUAACAGCCUCCUCCAACUCAUUUUUUCUCAACAAACUUAUUUUUCCAGCAGAAGAAUCCCAGACUUCUUAGAGAACCCAGUGACUUUUUGCACCUUAAAUCUGUGAAAUCCUCAUGUUUUCUUCUGCCGUAUCCAUAGUUCAAACAAAGAUGAGGCAAAGCUAGAUGCAUUCCUGAAGGAACCCAAGAAAUUCCUCUCUUUAUUUCUCUGGAAUGAAAUGAAUUCUCUAGACCACCAGUUCUAACCUUCAAAAACCAAACCUGUUUGUGAGAUCUCCUUCAAAUACUACUGUAGACCCCAGUGUUUAUUCAUUAAAUUUUUAAAAUAUUUGUUUUAUUUGGAAUCCAUGUAUUUGUAAUUUUAGUGUUUGUAUUAAUAUAAGGGAGAAAUGUUUAAAUCUGUCUAUGCCAUAUGUGCCUCUGGCUUAUUGCCCAAUUAAUUGUAGACUCAGGCUAAACUUUGGUUUCUGUCUUUAAUUUUUGUCAGAAGAAAUAUAACUGAUCUCAAAA
Long non-coding RNA from Homo sapiens (human), 1159 nucleotides. Ensembl annotates it as ribosomal protein L23a pseudogene 7. Its record names the gene RPL23AP7. The record is from Ensembl. NCBI's taxonomy places the organism in Eukaryota, Metazoa, Chordata, Mammalia, Primates, Hominidae.